Molecule: ribosomal RNA, 1499 nt
Filed under: Weissella confusa
Lineage: Bacteria; Bacillati; Bacillota; Bacilli; Lactobacillales; Lactobacillaceae
Description: bacterial SSU rRNA
Rfam family: Bacterial small subunit ribosomal RNA
Source: RNAcentral
GAUGAACGCUGGCGGCGUGCCUAAUACAUGCAAGUCGAACGCUUUGUGGUUCAACUGAUUUGAAGAGCUUGCUCAGAUAUGACGAUGGACAUUGCAAAGAGUGGCGAACGGGUGAGUAACACGUGGGAAACCUACCUCUUAGCAGGGGAUAACAUUUGGAAACAGAUGCUAAUACCGUAUAACAAUGACAACCGCAUGGUCGUUAUUUAAAAGAUGGUUCUGCUAUCACUAAGAGAUGGUCCCGCGGUGCAUUAGCUAGUUGGUAAGGUAAUGGCUUACCAAGGCGAUGAUGCAUAGCCGAGUUGAGAGACUGAUCGGCCACAAUGGGACUGAGACACGGCCCAUACUCCUACGGGAGGCAGCAGUAGGGAAUCUUCCACAAUGGGCGAAAGCCUGAUGGAGCAACGCCGCGUGUGUGAUGAAGGGUUUCGGCUCGUAAAACACUGUUGUAAGAGAAGAAUGACAUUGAGAGUAACUGUUCAAUGUGUGACGGUAUCUUACCAGAAAGGAACGGCUAAAUACGUGCCAGCAGCCGCGGUAAUACGUAUGUUCCAAGCGUUAUCCGGAUUUAUUGGGCGUAAAGCGAGCGCAGACGGUUAUUUAAGUCUGAAGUGAAAGCCCUCAGCUCAACUGAGGAAUUGCUUUGGAAACUGGAUGACUUGAGUGCAGUAGAGGAAAGUGGAACUCCAUGUGUAGCGGUGAAAUGCGUAGAUAUAUGGAAGAACACCAGUGGCGAAGGCGGCUUUCUGGACUGUAACUGACGUUGAGGCUCGAAAGUGUGGGUAGCAAACAGGAUUAGAUACCCUGGUAGUCCACACCGUAAACGAUGAGUGCUAGGUGUUUGAGGGUUUCCGCCCUUAAGUGCCGCAGCUAACGCAUUAAGCACUCCGCCUGGGGAGUACGACCGCAAGGUUGAAACUCAAAGGAAUUGACGGGGACCCGCACAAGCGGUGGAGCAUGUGGUUUAAUUCGAAGCAACGCGAAGAACCUUACCAGGUCUUGACAUCCCUUGACAACUCCAGAGAUGGAGCGUUCCCUUCGGGGACAAGGUGACAGGUGGUGCAUGGUUGUCGUCAGCUCGUGUCGUGAGAUGUUGGGUUAAGUCCCGCAACGAGCGCAACCCUUAUUACUAGUUGCCAGCAUUCAGUUGGGCACUCUAGUGAGACUGCCGGUGACAAACCGGAGGAAGGUGGGGAUGACGUCAAAUCAUCAUGCCCCCUAUGACCUGGGCUACACACGUGCUACAAUGGCGUAUACAACGAGUUGCCAACCUGCGAGGGUGAGCUAAUCUCUUAAAGUACGUCUCAGUUCGGAUUGUAGGCUGCAACUCGCCUACAUGAAGUCGGAAUCGCUAGUAAUCGCGGAUCAGCACGCCGCGGUGAAUACGUUCCCGGGUCUUGUACACACCGCCCGUCACACCAUGAGAGUUUGUAACACCCAAAGCCGGUGGGGUAACCUUCGGGAGCCAGCCGUCUAAGGUGGGACAGAUGAUUAGGGUG